UUGCGGGUAUGAUGCCAGGUGAGAUAAGUCAGACAGAGAAAAACAAAUACUGGAUGAUCUCACUUGUACACAGAAUCUAAAAACCUGAACUCAUGGAAUCAGAGAAUAGAUUGGUGAUUCUCGAGAGAUUGCAGGUGGGGGAAAUGGGUGUAGGUUAAAAGGCACAAACUUCCAGUUAUAAGAUAAGUAAGUUCUGGGGAUGUAAUGGAGAACGUGGCAACUAUAGCUAACAAUACUGUUUCGUAUGCUUGAGAGUUGCUGAGAGAGUAGAUCUUACAAGUUCCUACCACACGCGCACACAAAGGGUAACUAUGUAAGGUACUGGAUGUGCUAAGUAACCUAACUGUGGUGAUCAUUUUGCAGUAUGGACAUAAACCAAAUCAGCACUUUGUGCACCUGAAACUCACACUGUGUUCUAUGUCAGUUAUACCUCACUGAAUCUGGGGGUGGGGGAAGAAAAGGGGCAGUCUCUUCAAGCUGUUUAAUUAUGUGCAAGAUCUCACCUCGCCUUGUGAGGCAGGUGGCGUAAAGUGAUACAUUUCUGUUACUCUAAGCCCCCAGAUCUGUGGUGGUUUGCUGCGGCAGCCACAGGACCCUCAUGUGAUUUCCUAUCGCGGAUGAGGAAAUUGAGAGUAACUCACAAAGCUUACUCAACUUGCUCAGCCCGUGUAGAUUGGUCAGAACAGGCUAAGCUCUGCCGUGGUACCCGUCGACCCCUAGAGCUCUUGGACAAGUACUCAUUCUUACUCACGGAAGACUGGCUCUGCAUCUCAGCGACCCUCCAGGGCUGCUCUUCUCCAUGUGGUGACUCAGUGACCAGGCAAAUUGGAUCCUAAGGCUUGUUUUUUUUUUUUUUUUUUUUAAUCCCCACAUGAAGCUCCGUCUGUGGCCAUGGAAGGAAAGGGGGCAGCUAGAGAAUUGCCUGUGUGCUUCUCACUGCUUUAGUCUGAAGGUUACUUCUGACAUUUCCAGUCGCAAGUCGCUGGCCGGACUGGUCACGUGACCCUGCCUCACGGCAGGGGGGCUGCAGAAUAUAAGGAAACAAAUGGAAUAUCUGAGCCUGGGCUUUGGGACUCGUGGGUCUGGAUGUGACCUUGGUUCUGCUGCUGAAUAAACGGGGUGACCUUGGCCAGACCAGCAACCUUCUCGGAGCCUCCGUUUUCUCUUCUGUAAAAUGGUAACCCGAAGGGUUACUGUGACGAUUAACUGAGACUGCUUAUGAAAAGAGCUCGGCACAUAGUAGGUGCUCAUUAAAAGGUAGCUUUUCCUGACUGUUGUGUCAGCUUGGGCCCCUUUGGGCUCUCGGCUCUUAAAUCAUGAGUCCUGUAUUCCUGACUCCCGCCAGAUGGGGGCAGUCACGGCUUUGUUAUUCCGUACACGCUCAAGGAGGGCCUCUUCCAGCGUCAGGCUGACUUGCCACCAGAGGGCUUUGUCACCUCUCUUAAAAGCAUCUUCCGGUGGACAGGGUGCUGGACAAUAGGCAAACCCAUCAGAUUCUAAUUUGUUUCUCAAUCGAUUGUUUCCUCAUCUAAAAUGAGGGGCUAAGCAGCCCAUCACUCUAAGCUCCGUAUGGCUGAGACCAGCACUCACGACGCUGGGUCCCAGUCCUCUAGGGAGAACGUGCCCGGGCACACAGGUGAGCCCCUGCUGUGCACUCCAUGUGAAAGGGGAGUCUCCUGGUGGCGGUGCCGUGCUAGAGCUGCAGAGCCAACGAUGUGUACUCAGCCCAUUCAUCUGCCUUCUGCCGCAGGAGCCCCCACAGAUGCCGAAGGUGCAGGGAAUGACUCAGCUCCAGCUUUUGGAGACACACGUCCGUCGCAAGGUAGAACUCGUUCUCCUGCUUCGUGCUGCCUCACUGCCUCCUCUACAGCCUCCAUACUUCUCCCAGAGGGGACCUUCUAGAAAACGAAAUCGUGUCUCUCCCCGCGCUCCCAUCGCCCUCUGGAUAAAGUCUAGCCACUUGAUCCUGACUGAGGGGGGCCACACAACGCACUUCCUGCUCCCCUCCAGCAUUGCCUCUCACCUCUGCCCCUUACUCGUGUGCCUCAGGAACCAAGGAACCAAGGGGCCCUGUUCUUUCAGACCUCUGGGCCACCGUCUGGAAUGCUUUCUCUCUCUCUGCUUGAUCUGGUGAACUCCUAGUCAUUCAGCGAGGCCCAACUUAAAAGGCACUUCCUCUCAGAAGCCUGCCCUGAUUUCCCUGAUUUGGUGAAGUGCCUAUUUUUAUUGGUGUGCCUUUGGCAGAACAUAACAGAAUACUCAACUAAAAGAAGCUGAAGUGAUGAGAAACUUUUCAUUUGACAAGGGGUCUGGAGGUAGGACAGUUCCAGUUAGUUAAUUUGGACACAACCAGGUCUUUCCUCUUUGCCUCUUAGUAGACAUUCUUGAUGACUCUCCUCAGGGUUGCAAAAUGGCUGCCACAGCUCCAGACAAACCUGCAUGUGACACCCGGCGAGGAUGUGAUAAUUUCUUUCCUGUAGCGGGAGGAAAAGCUUUCUCAAGAGUCCCUAAGUUUCCCUUAGCCAGGAUUGGGUCAUCUGCACAUUCUAAACCAAUUCCAGAUAAGGAAUUUGGGGUUACCUGAUUAACUCAAAUCAAUCAGAUUCUCUCCUUGGAGCUAUGGAGGGAUCAUCUGGUUGAAAUUUGAGUUUAAAUAGCAGAGGAGGAGGAUAGGGUAUGACUCAGUGUGAUGGCCUCCAAGAUGGCCCCAGUGAUUCUACCUGCUGGCAUUCAUUCUCUUGCGUAGUCUUCUCUUACACUGGGCUGGUUGGUCUGUGUGACCAAUAGCAUAGCGCAGAGGUGAUGACAUCUCACUUCUAGGUUAGGUUAGAGAAAACUGUGAUUUCUCUCGUGGCUGCUCUAUUGGUCAUUUGCACACUCUUUCCUUCUCCUGGAUCACUGGCUCUAGGGAAGCCAUGUCAUGAACAGCCCUGUGUAGAGGCCCCCGUAACCACGAACUGAAGCCUCCAGCCAAUAGCCGCAUGAGUAUGCUCAGAGGAAGACGCCCCAAUCCCUUCAGAGACUGCAACCCCAUGAAAGGCCUUGACCCACCAGCUAAGCUGCUCCUGACCCUAAGGAUUCCUGACCCUUGGAAACCGUGAGAUAAUCAAUGUUUGUUGUUUUAGGCUGCGAAGUUUUGGGGGAAUUUGUUAUGUCAGUGAUAACUAACACAGCUGGGCUACCGCAGCACCCCCACCCAAGGGGUUCUCAUCCUAUGCCCUGUGAAUCACGGUCAGAGAAUCGUCUCCUAAUCUGUGUAUGUCUCCCCCAUCCCCCAUGUGCUUGUGAAAGCCUUGAUUCAUCACUUCCUUAUGCUCUGGAGUCUAGAGUGUGAGUAUGUGUGCAAAUGUAUGUGUGUGUGUGUGUGUGUGUGUGUGUGUGCAGUUGAGUAGCCUAUCUUCUCCUUCAAGGCUCCUUCCAAUUGGGCUCUCCCUGGACUCAGGAGUGGCUUGUUUCCUCUUUAUGUCCCCGGUCUGGCACGGGCCUGGGCACAGAGUGGCCUCAGAGAAUACGGAGGGGAUCCAUGAAAUUGACAGGAUGCCGGGCAAGCGAGAACCCACUUGGCUGCCAUGGCAACCACAGCACAGAAAACUCAGAGCAGCCUGGGCCCCCCUGAGGAGCUGGGAGGUUUGGCAGCAAUUCCUCUGUGAAGUGGUUUGGGGAGGUGGAAGGCAGUUUCCAUUGUCACCGUCUUGGAAAGAGGGUACUCAGAGCAUGGGGUGGGCUGGGGGAGGCAGAUGAGUGCCCUUGACUGCUCAGUGUGCUCCUAUAGGUACCAGGCCCUCUCACUUCCAUGUCCUCAGCCGUACCUCACCAUAACUCCUCCAAGUCUGCCUUGUGUUUACUGAAGACCUACUACGUGCUAGUCUCUUGGCUGAACGUUUUCUACCCAGCUCUGGUCUAUAAGCCUCACCAUGGAAGAUGCUGUGCCUUGUUGAUAACACAGUGCCUGGCACACAGUAGGCAUGUGAUACAUAUUUUGUGAAUGAACGAAUGAGCGAGUGAAUGAGUAAGUGAUUCUUGCUGACUCCUCACAUAGAAGAUAAAAGGUUAGUUAUGGGAAGAGUUAGGCAAAGGAAGGACAGAUGGAAGGAUGGGCAGAAUGGGAAGAAUAGUCCAGGAAUAGAAAAUAGCAUGUGCAAAGGUCCUGGGGUGAGAAAAAAGUUUGUGAUUGGACCCAUGCCUCCUCGCUCCAUAAAUAGCCCUUCUACCAUAUCCUAUGGUCCUCUGAGGUAAGUCCUUUUGUUACCACCACUCUCAAUUUGUAAAGAUCUUCCCAUUCCCUCCAAAAGGGUGAGGUCAUGGGGCGUAUGUGGUCUCCAGUUUGAAGGACAGGCUGCCUGGGUCUGGCUCUGCCACUAAGUAGCUGUGCUUACCUGGGGUACUGGCCUCAGUCUCCUCAUCUGCUAAAUGGGGAUAAUAGCAGAACCUACCUCAUAAGAUUCUUCUGUCACUCAAUGAGCUUAUGGAUGUAAAGUACUUGGAAUAUGUCAGGUGCUAUCUUGUGGGGAACAGAGCUUUGCAGAGACAAACCCAAACUGGGUACUUAGGAGGGCAGUCCUUCUGGGGAGCAACCAAGACAAGAGAAGGAUUGACUACCCCCUGCUGGAAGUGGAACAUGCAGUUAGGCCCAUCUGAGGCUCCCUCUUGUGCCUGAGCCCCCCCACUCCUUUGCACUAAUCAGAAAGGACCUUUGAUGCAAAGGAUUUGUCCUUGGCACGAGGCCCCUAGCUUCUGAGAGUUGGAGACAAUGUGCAGGGCCCAUUGUCUCCAUUUCCAGACAGUUCCAGACAAAACCAAGCGUGACUGCUUUAGAAGAGCACAGGAGUGAGACGAACCUACUAUUUUAAGGCAGUGGCGGGAGCUCUGGGUGUGCUGUGUGUAUCCUCUUGUCACAGCCUUGUCGGAGGAGCUGGAUCCAGCCUGAGAAGCCAGGCAGUCGGGACAGGGCCCCCCUCUGCUCGGCUGACUCACAAACAGACCUGGAGAAAGCCAAGGUUGAAGAGGAAAGCAACAUAGCAGGGGGACUCUCAACAAGGGCAGAGGAAAUGUUUAAAACCACAAGCUGUGCUACGGCCCUUAGACGUCAUCGAAGCUAAUGUCUGGGCUUUACAAACGAGGAAACUGAGGUGCAGAGGUGUGGGGGUGCAGGGUGAGAGGGGCAAGUUUCUUUUCUUUGCAAAUUGAUACAAGUUGUUUUGUUUUGUUUUAAAUAGCGCCGUAUUAAAUAGUUAAAUAAUGCACAGCACUUCAAUACUAUGGUCCUCUGUGGCAUUUAAAAAUAACAAAACAGAUUCGUGUGAGCAAGACUUGUUAACAGAAAAAAAAAGUUGCAGAAGAGUAUGUACAGCAUUAUUCACGGAGAAACAAAGCCAAACCAGGAUGACCUAUUUCAAUGCAUCCAUGUAUUGAAAGUUCCCAAGAAAGUCCUGGAAGGAUAAUCGUCAAGUUGAGUAGGAUGGCCACUUUCCACGGGGAAUGGAUGCGGAGUGCGGGGCAGACGGAACCUAAUUUCACUGAGAUUGUUUGAAUUUUUAAGAGAAUAUAUUCCUAUAUUUCUUGUCCAAUUAAAACACAGAAUACAAAAUAUUUUUCAUUAUUUAUUAUUUUUUUAACAUUAUUUUUGAGAGACAGAGCACAAGUGGGGGAGGGGCAGAGAGAGAAGGAGACACAGAA
Molecule: long non-coding RNA, 5676 nt
Organism: Felis catus (domestic cat)
Lineage: Eukaryota; Metazoa; Chordata; Mammalia; Carnivora; Felidae
Exons: 3
Source: RefSeq, a predicted model, not a curated record